AAGUCGUAACAAGGUUUCCGUAGGUGAACCUGCGGAAGGAUCAUUAACACAUCCUUUUAUCUAUAUAUGCAUUGUGGCACAGUGAGCCUCUUGGGAGAAAUGCCGCUGUAUGGCAAGGUGCGAUUGGAGGAGGCGCUUCGCCUGCCUUCACUGGCCAUGCCGGCCUGCAGUCCUCGGAUUGCAAGUUUCUCUUGAAUGUGUCAAAACAGUAUUCGUACACCUUGCUGGAACCUUUUUUUUUAACUUGAUUUUUGUAUUGAAUUGGCUGGGAUCGAGAAGGGCUCCUCGUGGGUCUGCCUCUCUUGGCUUUUUGAUGGAGCAAUCCAUUGAAAAAUUAACUAAAACACAACUCUUAACAGCGGAUAUCUCGGUUCUC
RNAcentral lists this unclassified non-coding RNA (376 nucleotides) under fungal sp. Its description in RNAcentral is "partial internal transcribed spacer region". The stretch from base 1 to 46 matches the Rfam family "Eukaryotic small subunit ribosomal RNA", at positions 1786 to 1831 of the family's 1831-position model. The record is from RNAcentral. Lineage: Eukaryota; Fungi.